This is a small nuclear RNA of Sapajus apella (tufted capuchin), 107 nucleotides long. The record is from RefSeq and is a predicted model, not a curated record. NCBI's taxonomy places the organism in Eukaryota, Metazoa, Chordata, Mammalia, Primates, Cebidae.
GUGCUCGCUUCGGCAGCACAUAAACUAAAAUUGGAAUGAAACAGAGAAGAUUAGCAUGGCCCCUGCACAAGGAUGAAAUGCAAACCUGUGAAGCAUUCCAUACUAAA